CCUACGGGUGGCUGCAGUGGGGAAUAUUGCACAAUGGGCGGAAGCCUGAUGCAGCGACGCCGCGUGAGGGAUGACGGCCUUCGGGUUGUAAACCUCUUUCAGCAGGGACGAAGCGUGAGUGACGGUACCUGCAGAAGAAGCGCCGGCCAACUACGUGCCAGCAGCCGCGGUAAGACGUAGGGCGCGAGCGUUGUCCGGAUUUAUUGGGCGUAAAGAGCUCGUAGGCGGCUUGUCGCGUCGACUGUGAAAACCCGCGGCUCAACUGCGGGCUUGCA
RNAcentral lists this ribosomal RNA (275 nucleotides) under uncultured bacterium. RNAcentral describes it as "partial 16S ribosomal RNA". It matches the Rfam family "Bacterial small subunit ribosomal RNA", at positions 338 to 625 of the family's 1533-position model. The record is from RNAcentral.